Molecule: ribosomal RNA, 326 nt
Filed under: uncultured eukaryote
Lineage: Eukaryota
Description: partial 18S ribosomal RNA
Rfam family: Eukaryotic small subunit ribosomal RNA
Source: RNAcentral
CCCUUAGAUGUUCUGGGCCGCACGCGUGCUACACUGAUGAAUUCAACGAGCACUAACCUGUGCCGAAAGGUUCGGGUAAUCUUGUGAAAUUUCAUCGUGAUGGGGAUUGAUUAUUGCAAUUUUUAAUCAUAAACGAGGAAUGCCUAGUAAGCGUGAGUCAUCAGCUCACGUUGAUUACGUCCCUGCUCUUUGUACACACCGCCCGUCGCUCCUACCGAUUGAAUGUGCCAGUGAAAAGUUAGGAUUGGGCGUGGGAGACGGCAACGUAUUCCACAUCCGAGAAAAUCUUUAAACUUUCCCAUUUAGAGGAAGGAGAAGUCGUAACA